Molecule: ribosomal RNA, 397 nt
Filed under: uncultured bacterium
Lineage: Bacteria
Description: partial 16S ribosomal RNA
Rfam family: Bacterial small subunit ribosomal RNA
Source: RNAcentral
AUACGUAGGUGGCAAGCGUUGUCCGGAUUUAUUGGGCGUAAAGCGAGCGCAGGCGGUUUCUUAAGUCUGACGUGAAAGCCCCCGGCUCAACCGGGGAGGGUCAUUGGAAACUGGGAGACUUGAGUGCAGGAGAGGAGAGUGGAAUUCCAUGUGUAGCGGUGAAAUGCGUAGAUAUAUGGAGGAACACCAGUGGCGAAGGCGACUCUCUGGUCUGUAACUGACGCUGAGGCUCGAAAGCGUAGGGAGCAAACAGGAUUAGAUACCCUGGUAGUCCACGCCGUAAACGAUGAGUGCUAAGUGUUGGAGGGUUUCCGCCCUUCAGUGCUGCAGCUAACGCAUUAAGCACUCCGCCUGGGGAGUACGACCGCAAGGUUGAAACUCAAAUGAAUUGACGGGG